CGGCGGACGGGUGAGUAACGCGUGGGUAACCUACCCUGUACACACGGAUAACAUACCGAAAGGUAUGCUAAUACGGGAUAAUAUAUUUGAGAGGCAUCUCUUGAAUAUCAAAGGUGAGCCAGUACAGGAUGGACCCGCGUCUGAUUAGCUGGUUGGUAAGGUAACGGCUUACCAAGGCGACGAUCAGUAGCCGACCUGAGAGGGUGAUCGGCCACAUUGGAACUGAGACACGGUCCAA
This 238-nucleotide ribosomal RNA is filed under the name uncultured bacterium. Its description in RNAcentral is "partial 16S ribosomal RNA". It matches the Rfam family "Bacterial small subunit ribosomal RNA", at positions 96 to 334 of the family's 1533-position model. The record is from RNAcentral.